GAUGAACGCUGGCGGCGUGCCUAAUACAUGCAAGUCGAGCGAACGGACGAGAAGCUUGCUUCUCUGAUGUUAGCGGCGGACGGGUGAGUAACACGUGGAUAACCUACCUAUAAGACUGGGAUAACUUCGGGAAACCGGAGCUAAUACCGGAUAAUAUUUUGAACCGCAUGGUUCAAAAGUGAAAGACGGUCUUGCUGUCACUUAUAGAUGGAUCCGCGCUGCAUUAGCUAGUUGGUAAGGUAACGGCUUACCAAGGCAACGAUGCAUAGCCGACCUGAGAGGGUGAUCGGCCACACUGGAACUGAGACACGGUCCAGACUCCUACGGGAGGCAGCAGUAGGAAAUCUUCCGCAAUGGGCGAAAGCCUGACGGAGCAACGCCGCGUGAGUGAUGAAGGUAUUCGGAUCGUAAAACUCUGUUAUUAGGGAAGAACAUAUGUGUAAGUAACUGUGCACAUCUUGACGGUACCUAAUCAGAAAGCCACGGCUAACUACGUG
RNAcentral lists this ribosomal RNA (497 nucleotides) under uncultured bacterium. RNAcentral's name for it is "partial 16S ribosomal RNA". It matches the Rfam family "Bacterial small subunit ribosomal RNA", at positions 28 to 507 of the family's 1533-position model. The record is from RNAcentral.